RNAcentral lists this ribosomal RNA (459 nucleotides) under uncultured bacterium. RNAcentral describes it as "partial 16S ribosomal RNA". It matches the Rfam family "Bacterial small subunit ribosomal RNA", at positions 338 to 795 of the family's 1533-position model. The record is from RNAcentral.
CCUACGGGGCGCAGCAGUGAGGAAUAUUGGUCAAUGGCCGUAAGGCUGAACCAGCCAAGUCGCGUGAAGGAAGAAGGAUCUAUGGUUUGUAAACUUCUUUUAUAGGGGAAUAAAGGUAUCCACGUGUGGAUAUUUGCAUGUACCCUAUGAAUAAGCAUCGGCUAACUCCGUGCCAGCAGCCGCGGUAAUAAGGAGGAUGCGAGCGUUAUCCGGAUUUAUUGGGUGUAAAGGGUGCGUAGGUUGUUUUUUAAGUCAGCGGUAAAAAUUCGGGGCUCAACCACGUCCGGCCGUUGAAACUGGGGGCGUUGAGUGGGCGAGAAGAGGGCGGAAUGCGUGGUGUAGCGGUGAAAUGCAUAGAUAUCACGCAGAACCCCGAUUGCGAAGGCAGCCUUCCGGCGCCCUACUGACGCUGAGGCACGAAAGUGCGGGGAUCGAACAGGAUUAGAUACCCCAGUAGUC